RNAcentral lists this ribosomal RNA (1151 nucleotides) under uncultured Flavobacteriaceae bacterium. Its description in RNAcentral is "bacterial SSU rRNA". It matches the Rfam family "Bacterial small subunit ribosomal RNA", at positions 373 to 1533 of the family's 1533-position model. The record is from RNAcentral. Lineage: Bacteria; Pseudomonadati; Bacteroidota; Flavobacteriia; Flavobacteriales; Flavobacteriaceae.
GGAGGCAACUCUGAUCCAGCCAUGCCGCGUGCAGGAAGACUGCCCUAUGGGUUGUAAACUGCUUUUAUAUAGGAAGAAACCUUGGUACGUGUACCAAGCUGACGGUACUAUAAGAAUAAGGAUCGGCUAACUCCGUGCCAGCAGCCGCGGUAAUACGGAGGAUCCAAGCGUUAUCCGGAAUCAUUGGGUUUAAAGGGUCCGUAGGUGGAUAAUUAAGUCAGAGGUGAAAUCUUGCAGCUCAACUGUAAAAUUGCCUUUGAUACUGGUUAUCUUGAGUUAUUAUGAAGUAGUUAGAAUAUGUAGUGUAGCGGUGAAAUGCAUAGAUAUUACAUAGAAUACCAAUUGCGAAGGCAGAUUACUAAUAAUCAACUGACACUGAUGGACGAAAGCGUGGGUAGCGAACAGGAUUAGAUACCCUGGUAGUCCACGCCGUAAACGAUGGUUACUAGCUGUUUGGACCUUGUGUCUGAGUGGCUAAGCGAAAGUGAUAAGUAACCCACCUGGGGAGUACGUUCGCAAGAAUGAAACUCAAAGGAAUUGACGGGGGCCCGCACAAGCGGUGGAGCAUGUGGUUUAAUUCGAUGAUACGCGAGGAACCUUACCAGGGCUUAAAUGUAAGUUGCAUUAGUUAGAGAUAGCUAUUUCUUCGGACCACUUACAAGGUGCUGCAUGGUUGUCGUCAGCUCGUGCCGUGAGGUGUCAGGUUAAGUCCUAUAACGAGCGCAACCCCUGUUGUUAGUUGCCAGCGAGUCAUGUCGGGAACUCUAACAAGACUGCCAGUGCAAACUGUGAGGAAGGUGGGGAUGACGUCAAAUCAUCACGGCCCUUACGUCCUGGGCUACACACGUGCUACAAUGGUCGGUACAGAGAGCAGCCACUACGCGAGUAGGAGCGAAUCUUAAAAGCCGAUCACAGUUCGGAUCGGAGUCUGCAACUCGACUCCGUGAAGCUGGAAUCGCUAGUAAUCGGAUAUCAGCCAUGAUCCGGUGAAUACGUUCCCGGGCCUUGUACACACCGCCCGUCAAGCCAUGGAAGUUGGGAGUGCCUGAAGUCCGUUACCGUAAGGAGCGGCCUAGGGUAAAAUCGAUAACUAGGGCUAAGUCGUAACAAGGUAGCCGUACCGGAAGGUGCGGCUGGAACACCUCCUUUCU